UGGGAAAGAACUAGAAUGGGUGGGCAGUCAACUCAACCUCUCCUCGACUACCUCGCCAAUGCUGGCCAAGGCUGUCUGAAGCCACUGAAAGUGUUGACGACAGGGAUAGACUUGUAGAUGAUUAAUCAAGUCUGUGGACCAUUUGAAAGGUUCAGAGAUGGGUUGAAAACGAUUGGAGUCCUGGAGCACAUUCAGAAUCUUUCAGUCCAGUGAUGUGCGAAGAGAAGUUGGGGGACAUCCUAGCAUUUGGAUCUGAAUCUGAUGCAAUACCACCAGUCGGAUUUUCUCCUCUUUUCUCCUUUGGUUUGCGGUGACUAGCGUUCUGUGGCAUUUAUGUGAUUGCUGUGAACUUGUAUGUUCACUGUGUAUUGCAUGAUCCUUUGAGUUAGCAAAGGGCCUAGCAAAUCACUCUACCGCUUUCACCUGGACUGAUAACCUGGACAAUUAUUAACCAACUGAUCUACGGGAUUGAGGGGCAAAGAGGAAGCUGCUGACUUAUGGGAACACGGCAGGGACAACGAGACGGUGGCAGACGAAUCCAACGGGGCUGCAACGGAUGGAAGCAGACGAGAGCACGCCAUCACGCCAUCGUCACCGAGAGCCACAGUUGUUGGAUUAUUGAUACUCACAAUUCCUGAGCUAAGGGACGUUUGCUUAUUACCAUUUCCGGAUUGGAACAGAAGGAACUACACUGACAUCCAUUGGUACCACAAGAAGCCAACGUGGAUUAUAACUCAACCCUCACGAUAUGCAGCAUAAAGAAGUAAAUUGUCUACCCAAAUCUUAUUGCGUUGUAUAUUGGACCGAGUUGUAAUUACUCCUUCUGUUCUGGUAUAUGUGGCUGACUGUUCUGGGAGGCCGUGACUGACGUCACUGGGGGAUCCCAGGGAAGCCUUUCGUCGUGAGGGGGCAUUGGCCACAACGUCACACCAAACUCUACGGUCAACACCAAACAGAGCACGGCCGGAUUGACUGGACUUUCCUGGUGGAUGUUCAACUUAUUGGAAGACCA
This is a long non-coding RNA of Gasterosteus aculeatus aculeatus (three-spined stickleback), 1012 nucleotides long. NCBI's taxonomy places the organism in Eukaryota, Metazoa, Chordata, Actinopteri, Perciformes, Gasterosteidae. The record is from Ensembl.